RNAcentral lists this RNase P RNA (410 nucleotides) under Nakamurella antarctica. RNAcentral describes it as "Bacterial RNase P class A". It matches the Rfam family "Bacterial RNase P class A". From Rfam's summary of the family: Ribonuclease P (RNase P) is a ubiquitous endoribonuclease, found in archaea, bacteria and eukarya as well as chloroplasts and mitochondria. Its best characterised activity is the generation of mature 5'-ends of tRNAs by cleaving the 5'-leader elements of precursor-tRNAs. Lineage: Bacteria; Bacillati; Actinomycetota; Actinomycetes; Nakamurellales; Nakamurellaceae. The record is from Rfam by way of RNAcentral.
CGAGUUGGCUGGGCAGCCGCGUCACUGGUCGAGGGAUCGGUGUCGAGGAAAGUCCGGGCUCCACAGGGCAGGGUGGUUGUUAACGGCAACCCGGGGCGACCCGCGGGACAGUGCCACAGAAAAUAGACCGCCAGCGAGGGCUUUCGAGCCCACGCCGGUAAGGGUGAAACGGUGGUGUAAGAGACCACCAGCGUGCCGGGCGACCGGUGCGGCUAGGUAAACCCCACCCGGAGCAAGGUCAGGAUCCGCGGCUUAGGCUGCGGUGCGCAAGUGUUUGAGGGCGGCUCGCCCGAGCUUGCGGGUAGACCGCUAGAGCGUGCUGGCAACGGCAUGCCGAGAUGGAUGGUUGCCGAACGGGAUUGCCGCGAGGCACCCGGGAACAGGACCCGGCUUAUAGGCCAACUCGUCCC